ACGGGUGAGUAAUACAUCGGAACGUAUCCUGGAGUGGGGGAUAGCCCGGCGAAAGCCGGAUUAAUACCGCAUACGCUCUGAGGAGGAAAGCGGGGGACCUUCGGGCCUCGCGCUCAAGGGGCGGCCGAUGGCGGAUUAGGUAGUUGGUGGGGUAAAGGCCUACCAAGCCGACGAUCCGUAGCUGGUCUGAGAGGACGACCAGCCACACUGGGACUGAGACACGGCCCAGACUCCUACGGGAGGCAGCAGUGGGGAAUUUUGGACAAUGGGGGCAACCCUGAUCCAGCAAUGCCGUGUGUGUGAAGAAGGCCUUCGGGUUGUAAAGCACUUUUGUCCGGAAAGAAAUCAUCGGGGCCAAUACCCCUGGUGGAUGACGGUACCGGAAGAAUAAGCACCGGCUAACUACGUGCCAGCAGCCGCGGUAAUACGUAGGGUGCGAGCGUUAAUCGGAAUUACUGGGCGUAAAGCGUGCGCAGGCGGUGCUGUAAGACCGAUGUGAAAUCCCCGGGCUUAACCUGGGAACUGCAUUGGUGACUGCAGCGCUGGAGUAUGGCAGAGGGGGGUGGAAUUCCACGU
Molecule: ribosomal RNA, 576 nt
Filed under: uncultured bacterium
Lineage: Bacteria
Description: bacterial SSU rRNA
Rfam family: Bacterial small subunit ribosomal RNA
Source: RNAcentral